GCCGCCUGGGCGAUGAGCUGGAGCAGCGGCGCAAGGCGCGGGGCCGCGGGCCCGGGGCCGGCCGGCGCCUGGCCGCAGUGGUGUGCCUGCUGUGCGCCAUCACGCCCGCGGCCGCGCUGGCCUGGCUGAUCCGCAGGAGGAGCCUCUAAGCGAGAGGGGCGCUGGCCGGAGCGGGGAGCAGGCGGGACGCGCAACAGGCUGGAGAGAACCCUGUGCCCUUGGAGAAAAUUGUUUCCCCUUUUCCUACAGGGAAUCCAGAGCCUGAGCAGCAGCUGUGAAGACUGGAGAGAAAGAAAGAAGUGGAAGAUGUUGGAAGUGCUUUGGGCAACGUGAAGAAGGAUUUGCACAGAAGGAGCUGUUCAAGGGCCCAGCAGCAAACCAGAGACACAUACAUGCUUAUAUAUAGAAGAAUGUAAACCCUCCUGUAUGCAUACGUUAAGACGUGCAUGCCUUGUUGAGAACGUAAGCAACAUUCCUUGUAGAUGAUGGUGGUCUGAGCAUUCGUGCUCCUGCAGUCGGAGUCAAAAGAUUAGUGAUGUCCUUGCUGUAACACUAGCAGUUUCUCCACUGCGCCUUGUUUAUGGCAACGUAACCGUUCCUUUCAAUGCAGUGGGGUGGAAAAUACAUCCAGAGUUAAGUACUACCUUGAGAGACCAAGCUUGCUGCGGGACGGGCACGGCCUGGCCGUGGGGCGGGCACGGGUGCUUGGCAGCUUGGACGACAGACAGUCUGUGUGUGUAUAUAUUCAGUGCUAUAGCACCAGGUGAGAUAAGCUGUUCUUCUGACUUUAGUUUCUCUGGUGCUACAUUUCAUAUUUGUCUGGGGCUAAACUGCCUCUCUGUGGUGCUACAGUUUCCCUGAGAGGAUGUUCUGAAACAUGGGACAAGGAAAAAUCUAUUUUGGUUAUUGAUAUUUAUACACAAGAUAGCAAAAAAAAAA
Molecule: long non-coding RNA, 939 nt
Filed under: Strigops habroptila (Kakapo)
Lineage: Eukaryota; Metazoa; Chordata; Aves; Psittaciformes; Psittacidae
Description: lncRNA (ENSSHBG00005016267.1)
Source: RNAcentral